CAUAACUGAAUUAGUGAAAUUUGCCAUCCUGAUUAGCUAUUUUCCACUUGUUACUUUAGAAUUAUCAAGGCCUUGGAGAGGAGAAGGAAGAAGAAAGGCACAAAUGCUUCAGAUUGCUAUCCUUUGACACUAAGGAAAUGAAUUAGUAAAUAGAGAUGAUGAGCUCUUGGACAGAAUAAAAGAUCAUGGUUGCUUUCAAAAGAAAUGUCAGAUUGCUAAACUUCAAAAACAAGACCAGAAAAAUGGGUGAGGAUAGAAGUAGGAAGACAUAUGGCAAGUAGUGAACAGAGACAUUAUAAUAUAAGGUAAGGAUUUGAAAAAUGAAACAAAUUUGGACUUAUUUCUUGUGAAAAAUAAUGAAAGAAGUUAUUUUUAUUAACAAGGCAAGGGAC
Molecule: long non-coding RNA, 392 nt
Filed under: Vulpes vulpes (red fox)
Lineage: Eukaryota; Metazoa; Chordata; Mammalia; Carnivora; Canidae
Description: lncRNA (ENSVVUG00000016076.1)
Source: RNAcentral